RNAcentral lists this ribosomal RNA (468 nucleotides) under uncultured bacterium. Its description in RNAcentral is "partial 16S ribosomal RNA". It matches the Rfam family "Bacterial small subunit ribosomal RNA", at positions 28 to 507 of the family's 1533-position model. The record is from RNAcentral.
GACGAACGCUGGCGGCGUGCUUAACACAUGCAAGUCGAACGGACAGGCCCUGCUUUUGUGGGGUUCUCGAUUGGCGAACGGGUGUGUAACACGUGAGUAACCUGCCCUUGACUUUGGGAUAACUUCAGGAAACUGGGGCUAAUACCGGAUAGGAGCUCCUGCUGCAUGGUGGGGGUUGGAAAGAUUCGGCGGUUGGGGAUGGACUCGAGGCUUAUCAGCUUGUUGGUGGGGUAGUGGCUUACCAAGGCUUUGACGGGUAGCCGGCCUGGGAGGGUGACCGGGCACAUUGGGACUGAGAUACGGCCCAGACUGCUAUGGGAGGCAGCAGUGGGGAAUAUUGCGCAAUGGGCGGAAGCCUGUUGCAGCAACGCCGCGUGCGUGAUGACGGCCUACGGGUUGUAAACCGAUUUCGCCUGUGACGAAGCGUGAGUGACGGUAAUGGGUAAAGAAGCACCGGCUAACUACGUG